AAAGAUAUAAUUUCCACAUAAUAGCUGUAUGUGUCAGCAAUAACAAACAUAGUCAUUAACCAUAAAAGUACUUGUUCACACAUUAAAAAAACUACAAACUAAUAGGCUGUCUGGCAGAGUUUGCAGCAUUUAUUCUAGACAAACACAGAAAACACAGUUGAAAGUCACUCAGAAUGGUCCUGCUCCAUCUGAUUCAAAUGAAAAGUACCCUCCAGAUUCUUGUGCACUUCCACCUUAAACUUCUCUUCUUUGCUUCCCCGUUUCACCUUGAGAAGCAAAUCAAACUUUGCAUGGUCUUCAAUCACCUCGUUUGGCCCCGAGGUCCGAGGCCGUAAAGGUGGGGCUGGCAUCUCCGACGUGGUUGAACUCCUGCAGCUCCUUGAAGUUAGCCCAGGGUUUCACCCACACCUUAGCCUCGUACAGCUUCUUCUUCCCGCCGUCUAUCGCCUCGACGGUCAGGUGAUGCAUAGUCCCCGACACGACCUGCGUCUUCGCCUUCACCACGCGAGCGAACUCAAGGAGCGCAUUCUGUUUCUUGUUGUGUUCGUCGACGGCGAAGCGAGCGAGCUCGUCGAUCUCGAGACUGUUCUCAGUGCCAGCAGGGGAAUCGCGGACGCCGCCGAGGGUGGCCAUGACGAUGUCGCUUUCGUCGCCGGCGAGGUGGAAGGAAGAGGAGAUUGGGACGAGGGAGAGGAGA
RNAcentral lists this unclassified non-coding RNA (697 nucleotides) under Hevea brasiliensis (rubber tree). The record is from RNAcentral. Lineage: Eukaryota; Viridiplantae; Streptophyta; Magnoliopsida; Malpighiales; Euphorbiaceae.